This is a non-coding RNA of Trametes polyzona, 88 nucleotides long. NCBI's taxonomy places the organism in Eukaryota, Fungi, Basidiomycota, Agaricomycetes, Polyporales, Polyporaceae. The record is from the annotation of a GenBank genome assembly.
UGUCUGUUAGUAUAUCGGUUAGUACACGCGCCUGUCAAGUACGCAGUACUGGCCGCGCGAAAGCGGGGUUCGACUCCCCGACAGAGAG